UUCACCCUCUCUCUCUCAACGUCAGUCUUUCUCCAUAGAAAAUAAACUCUUCGAAGAAACUUCUCUCUCUAUAAUAAAGAACAUCUCCAUCUCCAUUUCUUCCAAGUUUCAACUCUGAUUCCUCUUUCACCUUGUUUAAUUCCUUCCGACGAAUUUCAAGGUCUUCUUAUCGAAGCAGCAGCUAUUAGUCGAUAAUAAUGACUUGGCAAAGUAGUUUUUGAGAAAUAAUUCGAUUGCUGAUUUCAUGAGGUUUAAAAGAGGCACUAAUCAAAAGCUGUCAUAGGUUGGAGGCUUAUGCUUGAUGGGUUUGGUAAAAGUUGUUAAUGUGGAAGAAAAAUAGUGGCACUACCAGAAGCUGUCAUUGAAUUCACAAGUAGUUACUAUUAGGUUUGUUCUCGCAUAACUUUGCCUUCUAUUGUCAGAAUAGUAUUAAAGUAACGGAAACAAUGACGUUUCGAGUCUGAAUUGCAGCCCUGAGACGGCAUUGAGGUUGUUCUUGAACAAAGACAACAGAGUUUGGGGCUGAGCAAAUUGAAGGUUCUGUUACUUUUUUUUUAAAGUGUAUUUCAAUGUAUCUCGCUUUAUUCUCAUGUAUUUCAUUGUAUUCAAUAUUUUUUAAUUAUGUUUCAUGUAUCUUGCUGUAUUUUAUUAUAUUCAUGGUCUUAUUAUAUUCCAUGAAUAUAUUCAUAUUUUUUUAAAUUAAUAUAAUUUAUGUAUUCAGAUAUAUUAUAUAAUUU
This 737-nucleotide long non-coding RNA is filed under the name Nicotiana benthamiana. RNAcentral's name for it is "long non-coding RNA (NBEN_LNC005898)". The record is from RNAcentral. Lineage: Eukaryota; Viridiplantae; Streptophyta; Magnoliopsida; Solanales; Solanaceae.